Molecule: long non-coding RNA, 713 nt
Organism: Equus caballus (horse)
Lineage: Eukaryota; Metazoa; Chordata; Mammalia; Perissodactyla; Equidae
Source: RefSeq, a predicted model, not a curated record
GCGCUCAGGAUGCGAACCCGUGAACCCUGGGCCACCGAAGCGGAGCGUGCAAACUUAACUACUCAGCCACGGGGCCAGCCCCUCAGCCUUUACUCUUGAAGAAUGCCAGAGGCACCUCAGCAGCCAAGACUUGACAAUCUCAGGACAGAUUUUGAUUUCACAUGGAAGGCGAUCAUUUGGCAAAGCUCUAAGGCAAGGUCCCAAGCACCUCCACCUGGAUUCUGGCAGCUGACACAUGCAGGUGUGUCCCCUGUGCCAGCCACGGCACUGUGCUCCAGGCACACGACAGUGAGUGCCUCCUCCAGCGACAGAGAGAGGAGAUCAAUAAUCGCACAUGGAAGCAUAAAAUGACAACCGUGAUAAGCCAAGGACACUCCGAGGGCGCGCAGAGCCGGUCAGAAGGAACCAGGCUGGUCCAAUCUGACUUUCCCGGGGUGAGAAUUAACAAGGGAGGUGGAGGUGCAUGUAGAGUGUUUUCGCCUCCCUUGCGGGGCUCCUGGGAAGCUGCAGGGAGACCUUAAUAGAUAAAAGAGUGACAACAUCCCAGGAGUGUGUUUGAGAUCCCACGGGAUCCCAAGAUCCCACUGUUUCACCACCACCAUGGAUUGGUUUUCAUACGGUAACGUCCUCGGUUUCCUCCUGCAAAUUUGCUUUGAUAAAUAUGCAUCUCAGACUUUCCUAAUGAAGAUUGAAUAAAGUCCUAAAACUCCUUA